AUCCAGUUGAUGAGUCCCAAAUAGGACGAAAUGCGCUUUGUCUUGGAU
RNAcentral lists this non-coding RNA (48 nucleotides) under Schistosoma curassoni. Lineage: Eukaryota; Metazoa; Platyhelminthes; Trematoda; Strigeidida; Schistosomatidae. The record is from RNAcentral.